This 648-nucleotide long non-coding RNA is filed under the name Gopherus agassizii (Agassiz's desert tortoise). Its description in RNAcentral is "lncRNA (ENSGAGG00000002108.1)". The record is from RNAcentral. Lineage: Eukaryota; Metazoa; Chordata; Testudines; Testudinidae.
GGGCCGGGCGGCAGGACACGGUGCAAGCGGCCGCCUACAGCCCCGGCCGCCCGGACGGGACGCUGGAGGUCCGGAGAGCCGCCUGCCGAGCCCUGCGAGCGGCCCUGCAGCACCGAGCAGGUGGGGAGGAGAGAGAGAAGCGGAGAUUCCCCUCCCUCCUGUGGUGCGUCCCCUGGGGCAGGAGGAGCCGGAGAAGAGGCCGAUCGGCUAAUGCUGCCAACAACCUUAAUGAGGGUGGCCUGCAAGACUCCAAGGAGGGAGUGGCUCUGACAGGCAUGUCGCUAAACGGAAACUGUGAAGAAGCAAGCAGAGGCACAGGCACUUAAAGCUCCUGGGUGGCGUCAAGGCAACGCCCUUGCAGAUUUGCUCUUAUAGCAUGAGGACGACGGGCUGAAUUCACCCUGGUGAUCUUCUGGAAAGGGGACAUGGAAGCUAUCACCCAGCUCUUGGGAAAAGCUGCUACCUUCUGUAGCAACAGUGUCCGAGCCAGAUAACCGUCCUGCUCCCACCCCACCAUUGCUGCAGCAAAACCCAGAANUUGGGAAAAGCUGCUACCUUCUGUAGCAACAGUGUCCGAGCCAGAUAAUGGUCCUGCUCCCACCCCACCAUUGCUGCAGCAAAACCCAGAAGAGGGUCAUGUUCUACCAC